UGUCUCCCUGAGGAGCAGAAGUUUCUGAUACAGCAGUUACCAAUGUAUAUCCCAGUUGGGCAUUUUCAAACGUCUGAAGCUGCCCAAGUCAGGUGCCACGCGCCCAGCACCACACGCCCUUUGAUUCACCCCCUUUCAGCUCGGGCGCAUCUUUGUGUGUCUCAUGUAUGCACAUUUGUUCAUUUUUUGCUGGGCCCUUUAUGAGUGGCAGAGGUCAUGAGUUUCACCUUUAAAUUCUGGAAGAAGAGUCGCUUGCUCCCUGGAUGGUGCCGACACCACUGUGGUUCCGAUAGCAGGAGGGGUUCAGAGGCUGGGAGAUGGCCCAUCAUUUGAGACCUGCUCACCCACGUGGGAGGAUCCAGAGACACAGCUCUUCCCACAGCGUCCUGACCCCCUCUUCCUAGGGUGGCAGCGUGACCGCUGGAAACUGCUGAUGUCAGUUUCAGCCUGGAGGCUGGAGGGGCUGAUUCUGGGUACCCUGGGCCUCUUGCUCGCUCGUGGCUGGUGGGGACGUGCCUUCCCACCACCCUUCGACUCUGCCGAGUAGCCGCACGUGUGAUGGAGAAAACAAGGUACCCUAUGCCGUUCUGUUC
RNAcentral lists this long non-coding RNA (593 nucleotides) under Bos grunniens (domestic yak). Its description in RNAcentral is "lncRNA (ENSBGRG00000007700.1)". Lineage: Eukaryota; Metazoa; Chordata; Mammalia; Artiodactyla; Bovidae. The record is from RNAcentral.